CUGCUUCUCUUACUUCCUGAGUCUCAAUUUCCUUAUCUGUCUCAGGGGGAUACAACCACAAUUGAUGUAUGGAUCAAAUAAGAAAUGGGCAUUAAUAGCACCUUGUAAAGGUGGUGACCAUCGCUAUGUGAACAACUACACGAACAGCUUCGGGGGUGAGUGGAGUGCACCGGACACCAUGAAGAGAUACUCCAUGUACCUGACACCCAAAGGUGGGGUCCGGACAUCAUACCAGCCCUCGUCUCCUGGCCGCUUCACCAAGGAGACCACCCAGAAGAAUUUCAACAAUCUCUAUGGCACCAAAGGUAACUACACCUCCCGGGUCUGGGAGUACUCCUCCAGCAUUCAGAACUCUGACAAUGACCUGCCCGUCGUCCAAGGCAGCUCCUCCUUCUCCCUGAAAGGCUAUCCCUCCCUCAUGCGGAGCCAAAGCCCCAAGGCCCAGCCCCAGACUUGGAAAUCUGGCAAGCAGACUAUGCUGUCUCACUACCGGCCAUUCUACGUCAACAAAGGCAGUGGGAUUGGGUCCAACGAAGCCCCAUGAGCUC
RNAcentral lists this small RNA (548 nucleotides) under Pan troglodytes (chimpanzee). RNAcentral's name for it is "processed transcript". Lineage: Eukaryota; Metazoa; Chordata; Mammalia; Primates; Hominidae. The record is from RNAcentral.